This 277-nucleotide unclassified non-coding RNA is filed under the name plant metagenome. RNAcentral describes it as "partial contains small subunit ribosomal RNA, internal transcribed spacer 1, and 5.8S ribosomal RNA". The stretch from base 1 to 46 matches the Rfam family "Eukaryotic small subunit ribosomal RNA", at positions 1784 to 1831 of the family's 1831-position model. The record is from RNAcentral.
GGAAGUUAACAAGGUUUCCGUAGGUGAACCUGCGGAAGGAUCAUUAUUGUAUAACCGAGGUGCGAGGGCUGUCGCUGACCCGAAAGGUCGUGCACGCCCGAGUGCCCUCACACACAUCCAUCUCACCCCUAUGUGCACCACCGCGUGGGUCCCCCUUUGGCUUGUUCGGAGGGGGGCUUACGUUUUCACACAAACUUUGUAUGCAGUGUAGAAUGUAUUUUUUGUUUUUGCGAUCACGCAAUCAAUACAACUUUCAACAACGGAUCUCUUGGCUCUC